RNAcentral lists this unclassified non-coding RNA (630 nucleotides) under Ooceraea biroi (clonal raider ant). RNAcentral describes it as "uncharacterized LOC113561460, transcript variant X2". The record is from RNAcentral. Lineage: Eukaryota; Metazoa; Arthropoda; Insecta; Hymenoptera; Formicidae.
ACUGUCUUACCAUUUGUGACGCGGAUUUUUGGUACUUUUCUACAUCUAAAUGAGUCUCAACAACAUCGCAAAAUGUAUGUCGUGACUGAAUACUUUGUCGAUCAACAAAAGAACUUUUAUUUUAUUUGCUACAUAUGUACGCGGCCAUUUAUAUAGAAAUGACUGCACUGAUAGGACCAGGAGCGCUGAUAAUAGGAUACUUGAAACAUAUCUGUGGAAUGUUUAAAAUUGCUAGUUACCGUAUCGAGCAUGCAAUGUCAAUUAACAUGUUUGACAGGAUUUAUCUACGUGAUAAAGCAGAGAUUCAUAAGGAAAUAAUUCGUGCUGUAGACAUUCACUGUAAAGCUAUGGAGUUCGCCAACUUUCUUAUAUCCAAUUUUCAAGACACAUUCGUCAUGUCACAAUUGUUUAACGUACUUUGUUUGAGCCUGAAUCUUUAUUGUGUUUUCCAAGCUGAUUCGUUUAAAGACAAUGUGGACGAAUUUUUAUACACUUUAUGCUUGCAAAUGGUAUUUUUGUGUACUCGUUUGUAGCCAACUAUGCCGGACAAGAAAUUAUUGAUCACUAUAAUUAUAUAUUUUCCGCUGCAUACAACAUUGAGUGGUAUCUAGCGCCCAUAAACAUACAAAA